This 473-nucleotide ribosomal RNA is filed under the name uncultured bacterium. Its description in RNAcentral is "bacterial SSU rRNA". It matches the Rfam family "Bacterial small subunit ribosomal RNA", at positions 328 to 793 of the family's 1533-position model. The record is from RNAcentral.
CUCUGUGACUCCUACGGGAGGCAGCAGUGGGGAAUAUUGCACAAUGGGCGCAAGCCUGAUGCAGCCAUGCCGCGUGUGUGAAGAAGGCCUUCGGGUUGUAAAGCACUUUCAGUUGUGAGGAAGGUGGUGUCGUUAAUAGCGGCAUCAUUUGACGUUAGCAACAGAAGAAGCACCGGCUAACUCCGUGCCAGCAGCCGCGGUAAUACGGAGGGUGCGAGCGUUAAUCGGAAUUACUGGGCGUAAAGCGCAUGCAGGUGGUUUGUUAAGUCAGAUGUGAAAGCCCCGGGGCUCAACCUCGGAAUUGCAUUUGAAACUGGCAGACUAGAGUACUGUAGAGGGGGUAGAAUUUCAGGUGUAGCGGUGAAAUGCGUAGAGAUCUGAAGGAAUACCGGUGGCGAAGGCGGCCCCCUGGACAGAUACUGACACUCAGAUGCGAAAGCGUGGGGAGCAAACAGGAUUAGAUACCCUGGUAG